UCUCAAACUCAUGAGCUCAAGCAAUCCCCCCGCCUUGGCCUCACAAAGUGCUGGGAUUACAGGCAUGAGCCGCUGCACCCAGCCGAGCCAGUUGUUAAACAUCUACCAACACACCCUGAUUCUGGUUCUAGUGGAAGUUCCACCACAUCUAGCCAUGGGUCCUUGGGAUGGCAGCAGCAAUUCCAAGAACAACAACAGCAAGAAGAAUAAGAGAGAUCAUCUUUUCCUGGGGCUCUCUCUUGGAAAGAAGGGAGAAGGAAUGCUGCAUCCUGUGGAACUAGUGUUAUGAAAGACACACCUUAAGAAAAACUCAUCUACCUCAACCUCAGAAGUUUCAGAAAAUUGUGCAUCUUUUCCUGUUCUUUCAUUUUGUUAAAAAUAAACCUGAC
Molecule: long non-coding RNA, 389 nt
Organism: Gorilla gorilla gorilla (western lowland gorilla)
Lineage: Eukaryota; Metazoa; Chordata; Mammalia; Primates; Hominidae
Exons: 3
Source: RefSeq, a predicted model, not a curated record